UACGUAGGGGGCAAGCGUUGUCCGGAUUUAUUGGGCGUAAAGAGCGUGUAGGCGGCCGUACAGGUCAGCUGUGAAAACUCGAGGCUCAACCUCGAGACGUCGGUUGAAACCGUACGGCUAGAGUCCGGAAGAGGAGAGUGGAAUUCCCGGUGUAGCGGUGAAAUGCGCAGAUAUCGGGAAGAACACCCGUGGCGAAGGCGGCUCUCUGGGACGGUACUGACGCUGAGACGCGAAAAGCGUGGGGGAGCAAACAGG
Molecule: ribosomal RNA, 255 nt
Filed under: uncultured bacterium
Lineage: Bacteria
Description: partial 16S ribosomal RNA
Rfam family: Bacterial small subunit ribosomal RNA
Source: RNAcentral